This 289-nucleotide long non-coding RNA is filed under the name Gallus gallus (chicken). Lineage: Eukaryota; Metazoa; Chordata; Aves; Galliformes; Phasianidae. The record is from RNAcentral.
UACAUAGGUGGGUAUAUAAAUAUCUACAUAAAUAAAUUGGUAAUUUAUACUUGUUUAGUUAAUUCCAGUAUUUAAAUAUGCAUUUUAUUCUCUGUGUUGCUCAAAGACUGACUGAAAUAAUUCAACUUAAUGCAUAAUUAAGCAAAAAACAAACAAACAAAAAGCUAUAUAAGAGUAGCAAGAAAAACCAGAGUGAGCUGUCAGGAAGAUAAAAUCAAGACUGUUUUUGUUCUAUGGUAUGGUGAGAGCAAUAGGAAAGCAAUCAAAUUUGAGAACUAAGAUUCUUGCA